UGAACGCUGGCGGCGUGCCUAAUACAUGCACGUCGAGCGAACAGACGAGGAGCUUGCUCCUCUGAUGUUAGCGGCGGACGGGUGAGUAACACGUGGAUAACCUACCUAUAAGACUGGGAUAACUUCGGGAAACCGGAGCUAAUACCGGAUAACAUGUUGAACCGCAUGGUUCAACAGUGAAAGACGGUCUUGCUGUCACUUAUAGAUGGAUCCGCGCCGCAUUAGCUAGUUGGUAAGGUAACGGCUUACCAAGGCAACGAUGCGUAGCCGACCUGAGAGGGUGAUCGGCCACACUGGAACUGAGACACGGUCCAGACUCCUACGGGAGGCAGCAGUAGGGAAUCUUCCGCAAUGGGCGAAAGCCUGACGGAGCAACGCCGCGUGAGUGAAGAAGGUCUUCGGAUCGUAAAACUCUGUUAUUAGGGAAGAACAAAUGUGUAAGUAACUAUGCACGUCUUGACGGUACCUAAUCAGAAAGCCACGGCUAACUACGUG
This 495-nucleotide ribosomal RNA is filed under the name uncultured bacterium. RNAcentral describes it as "partial 16S ribosomal RNA". It matches the Rfam family "Bacterial small subunit ribosomal RNA", at positions 30 to 507 of the family's 1533-position model. The record is from RNAcentral.